This 253-nucleotide ribosomal RNA is filed under the name uncultured bacterium. RNAcentral's name for it is "partial 16S ribosomal RNA". It matches the Rfam family "Bacterial small subunit ribosomal RNA", at positions 524 to 776 of the family's 1533-position model. The record is from RNAcentral.
UACGGAGGGUGCGAGCGUUGUCCGGAAUCACUGGGCGUAAAGGGCGCGUAGGCGGCGCGGUUAGUCGGCGGUGAAAGCCCGGAGCUCAACUCCGGGUCGGCCGUCGAUACUUCCGGGCUUGAGCACUGUAGAGGCAGAUGGAAUUCCGGGUGUAGCGGUGGAAUGCGUAGAGAUCCGGAAGAACCCCGGUGGCGAAGGCGGUCUGCUGGGCAGUUGCUGACGCUGAUGCGCGACAGCGUGGGGAGCAAACAGG